RNAcentral lists this unclassified non-coding RNA (241 nucleotides) under Chytridiomycota sp. RNAcentral describes it as "partial contains small subunit ribosomal RNA, internal transcribed spacer 1, and 5.8S ribosomal RNA". The stretch from base 1 to 46 matches the Rfam family "Eukaryotic small subunit ribosomal RNA", at positions 1786 to 1831 of the family's 1831-position model. Lineage: Eukaryota; Fungi; Chytridiomycota. The record is from RNAcentral.
AAGUCGUAACAAGGUAACCGUAGGUGAACCUGCGGUUGGAUCAUUACUGAUUUGCUUCUCUCUAGAGUUGAUCACCUUCGGGAGAUCCUCUUGAGGGAUUCAUACACCCCUUGUGCACCAUGAUGUUUUUUGGGUCUUUUCCUUCGGGAGGAGGCCCAGCUUUAUACAAAAACCAUAUCAAUUUGACUUAUAUCUCUAUGAAAAAUAGAAACAACUUUUGACAACGGAUCUCUUGGCUCUC